CUUGUCUCAAAGAUUAAGCCAUGCAUGUCUAAGUAUAAACUUUAAUACAGUGAAACUGCGAAUGGCUCAUUAAAUCAGUUAUCGUUUAUUUGAUAGUACCUUAUUACUUGGAUAUCCGUGGUAAUUCUAGAGCUAAUACAUGCUAAAAGUCCCGACCCCUGGAAGGGACGUAUUUAUUAGAUAAAAAACCAAUGCCUUCGGGCUCCUGGUGAUUCAUGAUAACUUUACGAAUCGCAUGGCCUUGCGCCGGCGAUGGUUCAUUCAAAUUUCUGCCCUAUCAACUUUCGAUGGUAGGAUAGUGGCCUACCAUGGUUUCAACGGGUAACGGGGAAUUAGGGUUCUAUUCCGGAGAGGGAGCCUGAGAAACGGCUACCACAUCCAAGGAAGGCAGCAGGCGCGCAAAUUACCCAAUCCCGACACGGGGAGGUAGUGACAAUAAAUACUAAUACAGGGCCCUUUUGGGUCUUGUAAUUGGAAUGAGUACAAUUUAAAUAACUUCACGAGGAACAAUUGGAGGGCAAGUCUGG
Molecule: ribosomal RNA, 527 nt
Filed under: Desertella sp. MM-2015
Lineage: Eukaryota; Fungi; Ascomycota; Pezizomycetes; Pezizales; Pyronemataceae
Description: SSU rRNA
Rfam family: Eukaryotic small subunit ribosomal RNA
Source: RNAcentral